GUAUUUUGUAAAGUUGUUCUAGUUUUGUAACUAAAAUGGUUUGGCAGUGAGCGAUUCUUAUUAGGGGAAUAUGCAUAGUGAAGGAUGGUCCACCUAUUAGUUUACUCUUUUUAUGUUGGUGUAUGUCUGGUUUGAUAUUAUUGUUGAAUAAUUUAAGUUUGUGUAGUUUUAGUUAAGCUAAGUCUAUGUGCUGCUUAUUGGAGUUUUUGUGUGUUACAUUAAUAAGGGUGUUAUUGUAAGAUGAUGUGAUUUAGGAC
RNAcentral lists this ribosomal RNA (257 nucleotides) under Echinococcus granulosus. Its description in RNAcentral is "partial 12S ribosomal RNA". Lineage: Eukaryota; Metazoa; Platyhelminthes; Cestoda; Cyclophyllidea; Taeniidae. The record is from RNAcentral.